This 236-nucleotide long non-coding RNA is filed under the name Elaeis guineensis (African oil palm). RNAcentral describes it as "long non-coding RNA (EGUI_LNC019226)". The record is from RNAcentral. Lineage: Eukaryota; Viridiplantae; Streptophyta; Magnoliopsida; Arecales; Arecaceae.
CUUGGUGUGGGCUCGGGCCUCAGCGAAGCCGGCGAGGCCGGCGUUGCGAAGGAAAGCAUCCCCCGGUGUCGCUGCGACGCACCAGUUGUUGGCGUAAUGCAUCUGAACGCAUCCGAAAGGCGCUGUCCAUUUGCUUCCGAGCUUUGGCGCUCACCCACCUUCCUUUCCCACACCUUCCGGUUGGGAUGGGGCCCUUCCUCUUUUUUAUUUUUAUGUAUUUUUGAUGCGGACGAGGA